RNAcentral lists this ribosomal RNA (113 nucleotides) under Rarobacter incanus. The record is from RNAcentral. Lineage: Bacteria; Bacillati; Actinomycetota; Actinomycetes; Micrococcales; Rarobacteraceae.
UACGGCGGUCAUAGCGAAGGGGAAACGCCCGGCCCCAUUCCGAACCCGGAAGCUAAGCCCUUCAGCGCCGAUGGUACUGCCCCUAGGGGUGGGAGAGCAGGACACCGCCGAAC